AGAAGAAGAAGAAAGAAGAAGAAAGAAGAAGAAGAAAGAAGAAGAAGAAGAAAGAAGAAGAAGAAGAAAGAAGAAAGAAGAAAGAAGAAUCCAGUCUGGCUAGAAGUUGUGUGCAGCAGUCUUAGGAGCACACAAAUCUGGCAACCUUCCAUGUUCUCCAGGAAACUGACAACAGCAGCAGUGUUCUUGGUUCUUCAGCAGCCUGCCUGGGUCUACAGUGGGCUUAUGAGGCCUGCCAGACUUGGGAAGUGGGGCAAAUGCAGCAGCCUCAUCAGCACGCUACACCUAUGAGGCCUGCCAGACUUGGGAAGUGGGGCAAAUGCAGCAGCCUCAUCAGCGUGCUACACCAAUCACUCACUGUGUUGUCCUCAGCCAGACUCCUGUUUGAGUGGAAAUAAAUGGGAGAUUGUGGACAGCCUUGCGUAAUGUAAAUGCCUCCUUAUGUUUCUUAAUAAAUAGGAGAUCGUGGCCAGCCUUGCAUAAUGUAAAUGCCUCCUUAUGUUUCUUAUUCCUUAUAGUCAUUUAGGCAAGUUGAGAGGAUGGGAGGAAGCAAAAUAACAAAUGCAAUUAGCCUUUGUCUGGCUCAUCAGACAGACAGACCACACUCUACAUCAACUAAACAGCUAACUGAGACACACACUGCUGUUGCCUGUUCCUGGAAACCAUACAACAUUGCCAGUUGUGUUCCAAAAGAAAUGGUAUCAGCCUUGUGGCACCAAGAUUUUACAUGCAUACUGUUGUAAUGUAACUUACUAAUUGUAAUUCGUUUAGAACUAGGCAAUAAAAUAAUUGUCAACACAGUA
Portunus trituberculatus (swimming crab) is the source of this 803-nucleotide long non-coding RNA. RefSeq lists it as uncharacterized. The record is from RefSeq and is a predicted model, not a curated record. The transcript is spliced from 2 exons. NCBI's taxonomy places the organism in Eukaryota, Metazoa, Arthropoda, Malacostraca, Decapoda, Portunidae.